CAGUUUAUGUGAAUCAAUUUGGAUUGUUUCUCGACGAUGAUCAUGUCUUAAGGUGCAAGGGUAGAUUAAACAAUGCGUCAUUGAACCUGGGGAGCAAAAAUCCAAUUUUACUUCCAAACAAAUCAAAGUUUGUCGAGUUAUUAAUACGCGAAGUUCACGAUAAGAUUAAACACAGCGGACUACGAGACACCUUGACGACUAUACUCGACGACUCCGCGGUGAAGACGGGGUUCCUCGUGCUGCUGUUGUCAGAGUUUUCGUGAGAAUUCAAAUAAUUCGCAGUUAUUAAGACGCUCAAUCCAGCACUUGAUCCCUAUUGAAGUGAGACACGAAAGUGAGACCGACGGAUUAAAGAACGCAGAUCAAGAAAGUGAAGAGACGGCGAACGCACAAGUAUUAUUAUUAUUAUUAUUAUUAUUACAACAUCUUUAUACACGGUAACUAAUCAACCAUAUUACCUAUCAGUAUUUACAAAAAAUAUAAAGGUUGUUUUUCAUUAGGCCGUGUUAUUAAAUGCAAAUGAAAACUCGAAAUACUAUUAUAUAAACUAUUAUAAAAAUAUUAAAAGAUACUAAGAAAUGUUUGGGUCGAAGCGAUACGUUAAAUAUAUAUAUUACAAAUGAAUUAAGUAGAUUUAAAAUUUUUACUAUUAUAGUUCCAGUCUUUAUUACGUCCAACUGAGCGACCGCAACGGAAGGCAGCCAUAACCGGACAAUUGAAACGGUUGAAACAGAUGGGCAAGUUGUAGAACAGUACGAACAGUUAAAUUACAGUCUAUUGACAUUUUGAUAUUUAAAUACGUUCAGACAAUUUAUAGUAUUUCGAAGACUUUGUUGACUCGUUAUGAACGUGUCAACCCUGGGGAGUGUAACAUACGUCAUAGCGGAACAUACGUCAUAGCGGAAGUUGAAUGGACAGAGCACGUUGUUGUUGUCUUGAUAGUGUACAAAAUGUAG
Non-coding RNA from Paramuricea clavata, 956 nucleotides. The record is from the annotation of a GenBank genome assembly. NCBI's taxonomy places the organism in Eukaryota, Metazoa, Cnidaria, Anthozoa, Malacalcyonacea, Plexauridae.